GCGGUAUGCUUACACAUGCAAGUCGAACGAAAUCUUCGGAUUUAGUGGCGGACGGGUGAGUACGCGUGAGAUCUGCCAUCAGGUCUGGGACACCACUGGAAACGGUGGCUAAUACUGGAUGUGCCGAAAGGUGAAAGGUUAACUGCCUGUUGAUGAGCUCGCGUCUGAUUAGCUAGUAGGUGUGGUAAAGGCGCACCUAGGCGACGAUCAGUAGCUGGUCUGAAAGGACGAUCAGCCACACUGGGGAACUGAGACACGGGCCCAGACUCCUACGGGAGGCAGCAGUGGGGGAAUUUCCCGCAAUGGGCGAAAGCCUGACGGAGCAAUACCGCGUGAGGGAGGAAGGCUCUUGGGUCGUAAACCUCUUUUCUCAGGGAAGAACAAGAUGACGGUACCUGAGGAAUAAGCAUCGGCUAACUCCGUGCCAGCAGCCGCGGUAAUACGGAGGAUGCAAGCGUUAUCCGGAAUGAUUGGGCGUAAAGCGUCCGGAGGUGGCGAUGUAAGUCUGCUGUUAAAGAGUCUAGCUCAACUA
RNAcentral lists this ribosomal RNA (532 nucleotides) under uncultured cyanobacterium. RNAcentral describes it as "bacterial SSU rRNA". It matches the Rfam family "Bacterial small subunit ribosomal RNA", at positions 39 to 615 of the family's 1533-position model. The record is from RNAcentral. Lineage: Bacteria; Bacillati; Cyanobacteriota.